UACGUAGGUGGCAAGCGUUGUCCGGAAUCACUGGGCGUAAAGGGCGCGUAGGCGGCCUGAUAAGUAGGGGGUGAAAUCCUGCGGCUUAACCGCAGGGCUGCCUUCUAAACUGUCAGGCUCGAGCACAGUAGAGGCAGGUGGAAUUCCCGGUGUAGCGGUGGAAUGCGUAGAGAUCGGGAAGAACAUCAGUGGCGAAGGCGGCCUGCUGGGCUGUUGCUGACGCUGAGGCGCGACAGCGUGGGGAGCAAACAGG
RNAcentral lists this ribosomal RNA (253 nucleotides) under uncultured bacterium. RNAcentral's name for it is "partial 16S ribosomal RNA". It matches the Rfam family "Bacterial small subunit ribosomal RNA", at positions 524 to 776 of the family's 1533-position model. The record is from RNAcentral.